RNAcentral lists this ribosomal RNA (248 nucleotides) under uncultured bacterium. RNAcentral describes it as "partial 16S ribosomal RNA". It matches the Rfam family "Bacterial small subunit ribosomal RNA", at positions 523 to 769 of the family's 1533-position model. The record is from RNAcentral.
AUACGGAAGGGUGCAAGCGUUAAUCGGAAUUACUGGGCGUAAAGCGUGCGUAGGCGGUUUGUUAAGUCUGCUGUGAAAUCCCCGGGCUCAACCUGGGAAUGGCAGUGGAUACUGGCAAGCUAGAGUGUGUCAGAGGAUGGUGGAAUUCCCGGUGUAGCGGUGAAAUGCGUAGAGAUCGGGAGGAACAUCAGUGGCGAAGGCGGCCAUCUGGGACAACACUGACGCUGAGGCACGAAAGCGUGGGGAGC